RNAcentral lists this ribosomal RNA (1552 nucleotides) under Salmonella enterica subsp. enterica serovar Goldcoast. Its description in RNAcentral is "bacterial SSU rRNA". It matches the Rfam family "Bacterial small subunit ribosomal RNA". The record is from RNAcentral. Lineage: Bacteria; Pseudomonadati; Pseudomonadota; Gammaproteobacteria; Enterobacterales; Enterobacteriaceae.
AAAUUGAAGAGUUUGAUCAUGGCUCAGAUUGAACGCUGGCGGCAGGCCUAACACAUGCAAGUCGAACGGUAACAGGAAGCAGCUUGCUGCUUUGCUGACGAGUGGCGGACGGGUGAGUAAUGUCUGGGAAACUGCCUGAUGGAGGGGGAUAACUACUGGAAACGGUGGCUAAUACCGCAUAACGUCGCAAGACCAAAGAGGGGGACCUUCGGGCCUCUUGCCAUCAGAUGUGCCCAGAUGGGAUUAGCUUGUUGGUGAGGUAACGGCUCACCAAGGCGACGAUCCCUAGCUGGUCUGAGAGGAUGACCAGCCACACUGGAACUGAGACACGGUCCAGACUCCUACGGGAGGCAGCAGUGGGGAAUAUUGCACAAUGGGCGCAAGCCUGAUGCAGCCAUGCCGCGUGUAUGAAGAAGGCCUUCGGGUUGUAAAGUACUUUCAGCGGGGAGGAAGGUGUUGUGGUUAAUAACCGCAGCAAUUGACGUUACCCGCAGAAGAAGCACCGGCUAACUCCGUGCCAGCAGCCGCGGUAAUACGGAGGGUGCAAGCGUUAAUCGGAAUUACUGGGCGUAAAGCGCACGCAGGCGGUCUGUCAAGUCGGAUGUGAAAUCCCCGGGCUCAACCUGGGAACUGCAUUCGAAACUGGCAGGCUUGAGUCUUGUAGAGGGGGGUAGAAUUCCAGGUGUAGCGGUGAAAUGCGUAGAGAUCUGGAGGAAUACCGGUGGCGAAGGCGGCCCCCUGGACAAAGACUGACGCUCAGGUGCGAAAGCGUGGGGAGCAAACAGGAUUAGAUACCCUGGUAGUCCACGCCGUAAACGAUGUCUACUUGGAGGUUGUGCCCUUGAGGCGUGGCUUCCGGAGCUAACGCGUUAAGUAGACCGCCUGGGGAGUACGGCCGCAAGGUUAAAACUCAAAUGAAUUGACGGGGGCCCGCACAAGCGGUGGAGCAUGUGGUUUAAUUCGAUGCAACGCGAAGAACCUUACCUGGUCUUGACAUCCACAGAACUUUCCAGAGAUGGACUGGUGCCUUCGGGAACUGUGAGACAGGUGCUGCAUGGCUGUCGUCAGCUCGUGUUGUGAAAUGUUGGGUUAAGUACCGCAACGAGCGCAACCCUUAUCCUUUGUUGCCAGCGAUUAGGUCGGGAACUCAAAGGAGACUGCCAGUGAUAAACUGGAGGAAGGUGGGGAUGACGUCAAGUCAUCAUGGCCCUUACGACCAGGGCUACACACGUGCUACAAUGGCGCAUACAAAGAGAAGCGACCUCGCGAGAGCAAGCGGACCUCAUAAAGUGCGUCGUAGUCCGGAUUGGAGUCUGCAACUCGACUCCAUGAAGUCGGAAUCGCUAGUAAUCGUGGAUCAGAAUGCCACGGUGAAUACGUUCCCGGGCCUUGUACACACCGCCCGUCACACCAUGGGAGUGGGUUGCAAAAGAAGUAGGUAGCUUAACCUUCGGGAGGGCGCUUACCACUUUGUGAUUCAUGACUGGGGUGAAGUCGUAACAAGGUAACCGUAGGGGAACCUGCGGUUGGAUCACCUCCUUACCUUAAAGAA